GUUUAGUGUGUCCUUAUUACAUAAAAAACAACUUUUUGAAGAAAAAAUUGUAAGAUCGAUAAAUUGUACCGAUAUAGCUUUUUAAUAAGUGUUAUAAUGAAAAGUAUCGCGGUAGCUCCAUCAGUAGAGCACAAAACUACUAAUCAGUGAUGGUUUUGAAGAAAGGGUUCGAAUCUCGCUCAGAACACUUGCAUUUUUUUGUGUUGUUAUAUUAAUUUUUUUCGAAUGUUUGCUUAAUUCAUAGUCAUUCUGGUUCAUUUUGACUAUAUAGUUUACUAGUAUAUCAUUUUACAUGUAUCAAAGAAGAAAUAAUGUAUCGCUUAUUGUGUGCAAUCCUAUGACUUCCAUACUCUUGACUUACUUUCUGUUCAUGUGUUUACAUUUAUUACAUAUAUUCAAGGGACAACUGCCGUCAAACUGAUGUAGGUGCCUAUACAUAACCAAUAACACGAGAAUUAAUUCUAUAGAAAUGAAGCCUACAUGUUGCGGGUGUAAUAUACACAUAACUUAAAAUAAGGCCAUUGUAUACAAGUAUCAAAACAACAAAAAACAAUUUUCGAAACCUUUUUUGAACAUGGUAUUAUAUGUAACAAAUGCAGCCAACAACAAUUUUGUCGCCAAUUUAAAAACUGUAUAGAUAAUAUAUAUAAUAGUACUGAAUUUUUUACCACCGUCCCUACACCGGUACCUAAGUCAUCAGAAAAUAAAACAACACAACAGAACAAUUAAAUCAGUUACACUACAAAUAGUAAUUGUAGGUAAAACAUCAAGAAGCUGUUGCAUUUGUAUCAAAACGAAGGGCCGAUUUGUUAAAAUGACAGAAAAGGCAAUACAACAUGUGAUAGUAACACAGGGUGAUCUAUGACAAACUGAAGUAAGAUGUUCUCCGGUUAAAAUAUAUACAUGUGUCAUCUUAUCUUAUCUUAUAGUCGACAAAUUCAGAUAUACAUAUAUUCAGAAUGAGAAAAUCACUAUUUGAAUUUGUUCGAUAUUAUUUGGCUCCUUGACAAGUUACGUGGUAUGGCGA
RNAcentral lists this long non-coding RNA (1027 nucleotides) under Mytilus galloprovincialis (Mediterranean mussel). The record is from RNAcentral. Lineage: Eukaryota; Metazoa; Mollusca; Bivalvia; Mytilida; Mytilidae.